This 63-nucleotide transfer RNA is filed under the name Rattus norvegicus (Norway rat). It matches the Rfam family "tRNA", at positions 1 to 62 of the family's 71-position model. From Rfam's summary of the family: Transfer RNA (tRNA) molecules are approximately 80 nucleotides in length. Their secondary structure includes four short double-helical elements and three loops (D, anti-codon, and T loops). Lineage: Eukaryota; Metazoa; Chordata; Mammalia; Rodentia; Muridae. The record is from Rfam by way of RNAcentral.
GGGGAUUUAGCUCAGUGGUAGGGCGCUUGCCUAGCAAGCACAAGGCCCUGGGUUCAGUCCCCA